Molecule: long non-coding RNA, 226 nt
Filed under: Rhinopithecus roxellana (golden snub-nosed monkey)
Lineage: Eukaryota; Metazoa; Chordata; Mammalia; Primates; Cercopithecidae
Description: lncRNA (ENSRROG00000045944.1)
Source: RNAcentral
CAGAAAAUAGCACACUUUUACUCUGCGCAACUGUUGCUUUUUCAUGCUGAGACUGUUAGUCCUUCAAGAAGAUAGCCUGACUCUUGUCAAGGUCAGAAUGAAAGAUCCUCCUCAAAUCCCUCAGAGAAGGGGUCACAAAGUUUAGAUGACAACCAUGGAGUUAUAAUUAACAUGUAAGUUUUAGGUCGAUAAUUUAAAUUAUUCCAACUUUCAGAAAAAAUUGUCU